Long non-coding RNA from Equus caballus (horse), 458 nucleotides. RefSeq lists it as uncharacterized. The record is from RefSeq and is a predicted model, not a curated record. Lineage: Eukaryota; Metazoa; Chordata; Mammalia; Perissodactyla; Equidae.
GGACAUUCUAAGAGCUAGAUUACUGCUGACUAUUGAAGAGUCACCACCAUUCCUUCUUGUCUGGGAACAACAGCUCAACAGAUAAGAAAUGGAAAGUCAGGAUACAAGCUCCAUGGAGACAGGGAUUAUUUGUCUUUUUCACAAAUAGAAAAGUCCCUGCAAUGAACCAGGCACUUGACUAUUUACAGCUCUUUACUCUCAGGCUGAUGUGCUCACACAUGGGACCAUGAUGGAAAAGACAGGAGAAAUUCAAUGUGUCUGUGUUGAAAACUAAUACUUCUGGCAUUCACUUUCUAAACUCUCUAACUCUUUGCUACAUUUUAAAGCAUAUUUAUUGGAUUCAAACCAAAAGGACUCUCCGAGAAAAAUCCCUUAAUGCACGUGAGUGCUUUGUAAAUACACACUUCUGUGACAAUUACAGGUCUCUUAUGAUAGCACAUAAAACGGACUAAUUAAAU